GUUUUAAUUUCACAUUAAUUUCCAUAUUGUAUAAACAACUGGAAAAAAACUUGAGCCCCUGCCCCUGUAUAAUCAUGUGCAUGUCUCUGUUCUAGCUCCAAGGUGAAUCUUCACUGCUCAUGUUCUCCUCAGAAGCACUCACCUCACUCCCCUCAGGUUACUGUACACAUGCACCAACUGCCUGCUUCAGGUUUGGAUGGAGCUUCAUGGUUGUCUUUUGGAGAAAUGACCAGUCAAGUUGUGUUUGAAAUUUGAUUUUUUUUUCAGGGGCAAAAGGAGCCUCUGCAUUCUUGUCAAAUAUGUAAAUAGCAUGUUUUUGCAGGUGCUAAAAACCAGACUCUGAGUGUGUGUGUGUGUGUGUGUGUGUGUGUGUGUGUGCGUGUGUGUGUGUCUGUGUGUGUGUGCGUGUGUGUGUGUCUGUGUGUGCGUUCAAGUCACAUGACAUAUUUAACCGGAUGUAGCUGCAAGACGGAGCCUCAUUGACUCUCCGUUUCAACUUAUCUCAAAAGUGAGGACCUCAACCUAUAUACCAGUUUUUAAAUUGUGUUGAUAGGCCAAAUAAAACCAGAGUUAUGAUAAAUUAUGUCCGCGAUACUUUUUUUCUGCUUAUUUUGAUCACGUUCAGCGCUCGAUCGCGCUGUAUGAGACAGGAAAACAUAGCAUGCAGACAUUAGCGACUGUUCUUACAGGCGUAAAAGGCUUGCCAAAAAAAAAAAAAAAAAACACACCACAACAUCCCUCCUAUUGGUGGAAAACUUCACCACAACAACCAAUCCAAAAUUAUAUGGUGACUGAUUGACAAGGGGAGGGCGCUUACGUUCUUCCUGCAACAUGAGAAGGGAGGGAGGGACUCUCAGCAGGGAUGCAGUCUGGGACACGUAGUUGCAAACCUAGCGACUUUGUUGUUAGAUUCAAUGACUUUUCAGACCCCCUAACGACUUUUUUUUAGAAAGAAAGGGACUUUUAUCGACUUCUUCUGGAGUUUAGAGACUCUGACAUGAAGCAGGCUUUCCUUACUGAGGAGUUAGCAACGCUGCUAAGGGUGCAGAGCCACACAUGCACUCAGAGCUCUGCAUGGGAGACUGAAGCUGACAGAGCUGCAGCAGUUAGCAGGUUUCACCCUCAGAGACCACCAGGGGUUCAUGUUGAGGCAUUUUAAUUUUUUUUUUUUUUGUGCCAUAGACACUGUCAGCACAAUCUGCAGUUACACUAACAAAAAUGCUGCAAAAAACAAAGAAUUAUGGAAAAAUUACACAUGGACUGACAUAGAGGAGGAUCUACACAAGUUUUUUACAUCAUGUUUUACAUCAUGCAUCAUUUACAUCAUGUUUUUUUGUAGUGGCAUAAAUAAAAAGUGACAUUUGUGAGACUAUACAGUGUUUUGUAAAUAAUUUUACAAAGAACGCCUGGGCCAUUGCCUGCAUUUUGAUGUAAAUAGAGGUAAAUUACUAUGUUCUUUGUUAAAAAUUUGCAUAUGUUUUGAAGUUUACAAUUUUUAUUUGAAGUUUAAGUUUUAAAAACAGUUCAUCACACAUAUUUGUGGUUUAAUUUCACAUUAAUUUCCAUAUUGUAUAAAUGACUGGAAAAAACUUGAGCCCCUGCCCCUGUAUAAUCAUGUGCACGUCCCUGUUCUAGCUCCAAGGUGAAUCUUCACUGCUCAUGUUCUCCUCAGAAAUAGUCACCUCACUCCCCUCAGGUUACUGUACACAUGCACCAACUAUCUGCUUCAGGUUUGAAAUGGAGCUUCAUGGUUGUCUUUUGGAGAAAUGAACAGUCAAGUUGUGUUUGAAAUUUGAUUUUUUUCAGGGGCAAAAGGAAGCCUCUGCAUUCUUGUCAAAUAUGUAAACAGCAUGUUUUUGCAGGUGCUAAAAAACAGACUCUGAGUGUGUGUGUGUGUGUGUGUGUGUGUGUGUGUGUGUGUGUGUGUGUGUGUGUGUGUGUGUGUGUGUGUGUAUGUUGGCGUGUGUGUAUAUGUGUGUGUAUCCUGCAGUACUCUGUACUCCUGCAGUGGCCAAAAAGACUUUUAAGAAUGUGGAUUUUUGGGUCAUCUUUGGCGCCCCCUAGAACUGCAGUACUCUGUACUCCUGCAGUGGCCAAAAUGACUUUUAAGAAUGUGGAUUUUUGGGUCAUCUUUGGCGCCCCCUAGAACGUAAACCGUGGGGUGCAGCGUCAUGAUUUUUACAACUUUGAAUGGGCAUGGGGUGUAGAUUGCCCUGAGCAAAUUUGGUAUCGGUGGGACGAAAGCCUUAGGAGGAGAUAGCCACAUUCCAAUGUGUGCGGAUCGGCAAAAAAUGCAAAAUAGCCCUUUUACCGUACAUUAUACAGAUACGCGCUCUUUGACUUUUUCGUAGAUCUUAUUGAGAUACACGUGAUUGUCAAUUUUUGUGUCAAUAUGACAAAGCGUACAGGCGUGACACUCAACAAUGUGUAUUUUUAUGUAAGGGGACAAGAAAAAAUUGACUUUUUUCUCCUACCAUGGGGGGCGCUCUUUUGGGGAGUAAAAAUUCCUUCACAAAUGUGUUGAUGGCUGGACAUUGCAUCAUCCUAGAAAACUUGGAGGCCAGUGAGGACAAAAAUAAAAAGUUAUAAAACAUUUAAGAAUGUGGAUUUUAGGGUUGUCUUUGGCGCCCCCUAGAACCUAAACCGUGGGGUGCAGCAUCAUGAUUUGAAUAACUUUUAAUGGCCAUGGGGUGUAGAUUGGCCUAAGCAAAUGUGGUGCCGGUGGACAGAAAGCCUUCGGAGGAGUUAGCGAAAUUCCAAUGUGUGCGGAUCGGCAAAAAAUGCGGAAUAACCCUUUAACCGUACAUUUGACAGAUACGCGCGCAUUGACUUUUUCGUAGAUCUUAUUGAGUUACAUGUGUGUGUCAAUUUUUGUGUCAUUUUGACAAAGCGUAAAGGCGUGACAGUCAACAAUGUGUAUUUUCACCUUAGGGGACAAGAAAAAAUGGAGUUUUUUCUCCUGCCAUGGGGGGGCGCUCUUUUGGGGAGUAAAAAUUCCUUCACAAAUGUGUUGAUGGCUGGACAUUGCAUCAUCCUAGAAAACUUGGAGGCCAGUGAGGACAAAAAUAAAAAGUUAUAAGACUUUUAAAUAUGUGGAUUUUAGUGUUAUCUUUGGCGCCCCCUAGAACCUAAACCGUGGGUUGCAGCGUCAUGAUUUGAAUAACUUUUAAUGGCCACGGGGUGUAGAUUGGCCUGAGCAAAUGUGGUGCCGGUGGAACGAAAGCCUUCGGAGGAGUUAGCGAAAUUCCAAUGUGUGCAGAUCUGCAAAAAAUGCAAAAUAACCCAUAAACCGUACAUUUGACAGAUACGCCCGCACUGACUUUUUUGUAGAUCUUAUUGAGAUACAUAUGUGUGUCAAUUUUUGUGUCAAUAUGACAAAGCGUACAGGCGUGACAGUCAAUAGUGUGAAUUUCCACCUUAGGGGGCGCUAUGGAGCCAUUUUGCAUUUUAUUGUUUGGGCGACUUCAGAAUAUCGAAUUUUUCACCAGGCCCGGUCGUCCUGCCAAAUUUCCUGAGUUUUCGCCAGUGGGAAGUGGGCCAUUUUCCAGUUCAAAGGGGAGGAAAAAGAAGAAAGAAAGAAAGAAAGAAACAAAGAAAAACCCCUUGGGGAAUAAUAGGGCUCUCGCAGCUGCUUAGCAGCUACGCUCGGGCCCUAAAGAAGGAAACUACAGGAACAAGAGGGCUCUCGUAGCUGCUUAGCAGCUACGCUCGGGCCCUAACUAGGACCCCGUUGGGGCACUGGCGGGCCCGAGCCGUGUUGCGUCCCCCCCCCCCCCCCCCCAACGUGCUGCCUCCCCGUCCCAUUUGUGUCCUCUGGCCAUCGCCCUCUCUGGUAACGCCCAUCACUGCAAAGACCCUUUUCCUUCAUCGGCGUUUGCUGUUCUUCCUGCCAGUGCGUGUUGCUUUCACUUACACUUGCCACAGCCAGCCUCGUGAGUGCCUAGCCUAUUUGAUAACACUGUCACCUACACAGGACAGUCAUUACCUUUCUAUUAAUACUUUGUGUUUUAAUUUCACAUUAAUUUCCAUAUUGUAUAAACGACUGGAAAAAACUUGAGCCCCUGCCCCUGUAUAAUCAUGUGCAUGUCUCUGUUCUAGCUCCAAGGUGAAUCUUCACUGCUCAUGUUCUCCUCAGAAGCACUCACCUCACUCCCCUCAGGUUACUGUACACAUGCACCAACUGCCUGCUUCAGGUUUGGAUGGAGCUUCAUGGUUGUCUUUUGGAGAAAUGACCAGUCAGGUUGUGUUUGAAAUUUGAUUUUUUUCAGGGGCAAAAGGAGCCUCUGCAUUCUUGUCAAAUAUGUAAAUAGCAUGUUUUUGCAAG
Molecule: long non-coding RNA, 4324 nt
Filed under: Xyrichtys novacula (pearly razorfish)
Lineage: Eukaryota; Metazoa; Chordata; Actinopteri; Labriformes; Labridae
Source: RNAcentral